RNAcentral lists this ribosomal RNA (460 nucleotides) under uncultured bacterium. RNAcentral's name for it is "partial 16S ribosomal RNA". It matches the Rfam family "Bacterial small subunit ribosomal RNA", at positions 338 to 795 of the family's 1533-position model. The record is from RNAcentral.
CCUACGGGUGGCAGCAGUGAGGAAUAUUGGUCAAUGGGCGAGAGCCUGAACCAGCCAAGUCGCGUGAAGGAUGACGGCCCUACGGGUUGUAAACUUCUUUUGCCAGGGAGCAAAUGGGUCCACGCGUGGGCUUAGCGAGAGUACCUGAAGUAAAAGCGUCGGCUAACUCCGUUCCAGCACCCGCGGUAAUACGGUGGAUGCGGUCGUUAUCCGGUUUUAGUGGGUUUAACGGGCGCGUAGGCGGAAUAUCAAGUCAGCGGUAAAAAUUCGGGGCUCAACCCCGUCGUGCCGUUGAAACUGAUGUUCUUGAGUGGGCGAGAGGUAUGCGGAAUGCGUGGUGUAGCGGUGAAAUGCAGAGAUAUCACGCAGAACUCCGAUUGCGAAGGCAGCAUACCGGCGCCCAACUGACGCUGAGGCACGAAAGCGUGGGUAUCGAACAGGAUUAGAUACCCGUGUAGUC